CUUCAGUCAGAAAUGCCAAGAAUGAUUAAGGAAAGAAAAAAAAAAUGUGUUCUUCCAACAGAAGGAGAUUAGAUGAGACUCUUUUCCCAGGAAUCCUGAUGGAGUGAACUCAGUCUAGAUCUGAACAAGAAGGGGGAAAGCAGGUUCCAAAAGCAAGUGGGCUAACGAGUACUCCUGGCAGAAGUGGGAAGAUUGGGCUUGCGAGGUUGCUUGGAAGUGUCCAGAUUGAGGGGCUUCCCGCAGUUGAUGGGUUUACCAAGCUGGCCAAAAGCUCCACCGGUAAUCACACUUUGAGCCUGCAAUUGUCAGAGUUGGUUCCUCUAACACUCCUGGAAUUUAACGGCAGGGUACAGAGUCUGAGGGCAUUGAGGAAGCCAGGCGGGGGUGGCGGGGUGCUGGCCAAAGGAUUGGGGAAUGGAUAUUUCCUUCCAUCUUAAGAAAGGACACGAGAUACUGUGCCAGGUGCUUUACACAUAUCAUUGAAUCUUUCACAACACAUUUAUGAGAUGUAGUAUUCUCCUCGUUUUAUGAGGAAACAGGUUCAGAGAAGUGAAGCAACUUCCUCAGAGUUAUAGAACUAAUAGAUUGUGGAGUCCAGAUUUGAGUUCCAGUGUUUCUGAACCCCCAAUCCGUCCUUUUACUACUAUACCAUCAAGUGGAGGAGGAAAUCGCCUUCUGGGAAGGAAUUCCACACUUGAACAAGGGCAGGUUGACUUUCACUGGGCAGCAUCGAUCCACCCUGCGCUCCCUGCAGACACUCUCCCAUCAGUUUGCACAUGCCCUGAGUCUAGAAGCCACAUCAAAGAUAAUGUGUUUGCGCCCAGGACAGUGCUGCCCCCAAAUGGGCAUGUUCCUCAGGUAUGGAAAAUAUUACAUUGAGAAUCUUAUCUUACUCUCCCCUAAAACUGUGGCGUAUUCUUACCUGUGACACUUGGGUGAAGGUCUAGAAGCAUAAACGGGGCUCCAGAAAGUCAGCGAACGGCAGCCUGGACCCUUUGAAGUCAGAAGGGCUUCCGACUAGGAGCGGACUGUUAGGAAGGAAUGAUCUUCCUAUAAAUGGUGUGGAUAAGAUGAGCACAGACUUGUUCACCAGAUCCUGAAAUACAGCAGCAGCUUGGAAGCACCAGAGAGGCAAGUUCAAGACAAGUCAGCGGAAAUACUACACUGCGUAGCAGGUAAUGAAUUUAAGGAAUGGAUUAUCUCCCAGAGGUGGUACAAGCUGGCAACGUAAAUGGAUUCCAG
This 1242-nucleotide long non-coding RNA is filed under the name Ursus maritimus (polar bear). Its description in RNAcentral is "lncRNA (ENSUMAG00000020269.1)". Lineage: Eukaryota; Metazoa; Chordata; Mammalia; Carnivora; Ursidae. The record is from RNAcentral.